Molecule: ribosomal RNA, 334 nt
Filed under: Foza raimundi
Lineage: Eukaryota; Metazoa; Arthropoda; Malacostraca; Decapoda; Deckeniidae
Description: partial 12S ribosomal RNA
Source: RNAcentral
AUUUGCUUAAAAUUUAAAGAAUUUGGCGGUAAUUUAGUCUAGUUAGAGGAACCUGUUCAUUAAUCGAUAAACCUCGUAAUAUCUUACUUAUUUUGAAGUGGUUUAGUUUGUAUACCAUCAUUAUCAGAUAAUUUUAUUAAAGGACAAAAUUGUUAAAAUUAAUGUUAUUAAAAAAAUUAGAUCAAGGUGCAGCUUAUAAAUAAGUUGAAAUGGGUUACAAUAGAAAUUUAUUUAAAACGGAUUAAUCUUUUGAAAAUAAAUUAUAAAGGAGGAUUUAAUUGUAAUACGAAUUUAAUAAGUUUGUAAGAUAUAGGCCCUAAAUUAUGUACACAUC